GGGAACAUAGUUUAAUUUGGAAAUAGCACCUUGCUAGAUUUAGUCAUAAAUUUUCAGGCUAAGUUGUUUAACCCAAGGAGAGUGCAAGUUCGAGCCUUGCUGUUCCCG
This 108-nucleotide transfer RNA is filed under the name Fusobacterium gonidiaformans 3-1-5R. Its description in RNAcentral is "Fusobacterium sp. 3_1_5R tRNA". It matches the Rfam family "tRNA". From Rfam's summary of the family: Transfer RNA (tRNA) molecules are approximately 80 nucleotides in length. Their secondary structure includes four short double-helical elements and three loops (D, anti-codon, and T loops). Further hydrogen bonds mediate the characteristic L-shaped molecular structure. tRNAs have two regions of fundamental functional importance: the anti-codon, which is responsible for specific mRNA codon recognition, and the 3' end, to which the tRNAs corresponding amino acid is attached (by aminoacyl-tRNA synthetases). tRNAs cope with the degeneracy of the genetic code in two manners: having more than one tRNA (with a specific anti-codon) for a particular amino acid; and 'wobble' base-pairing, i.e. permitting non-standard base-pairing at the 3rd anti-codon position. The record is from Rfam by way of RNAcentral. Lineage: Bacteria; Fusobacteriati; Fusobacteriota; Fusobacteriia; Fusobacteriales; Fusobacteriaceae.